AACGAACGCUGGCGGCAGGCCUAACACAUGCAAGUCGAGCGGACCCUUCGGGGUUAGCGGCGGACGGGUGAGUAACGCGUGGGAAUAUGCCCUUCUCUACGGAAUAGUCCUGGGAAACUGGGGGUAAUACCGUAUACGCCCUUUGGGGGAAAGAUUUAUCGGGGAAGGAUUAGCCCGCGUUGGAUUAGGUAGUUGGUGGGGUAAUGGCCUACCAAGCCGACGAUCCAUAGCUGGUUUGAGAGGAUGAUCAGCCACACUGGGACUGAGACACACCAGACUCCUACGGGAGGCAGCAGUGGGGAAUCUUAGACAAUGGGGGCAACCCUGAUCUAGCCAUGCCGCGUGAGUGAUGAAGGCCUUAGGGUUGUAAAGCUCUUUCAGCUGGGAAGAUAAUGACGGUACCAGCAGAAGAAGCCCCGGCUAACUCCGUG
This 431-nucleotide ribosomal RNA is filed under the name uncultured bacterium. RNAcentral describes it as "partial 16S ribosomal RNA". It matches the Rfam family "Bacterial small subunit ribosomal RNA", at positions 29 to 507 of the family's 1533-position model. The record is from RNAcentral.